Non-coding RNA from Phyllosticta citribraziliensis, 126 nucleotides. Lineage: Eukaryota; Fungi; Ascomycota; Dothideomycetes; Botryosphaeriales; Phyllostictaceae. The record is from the annotation of a GenBank genome assembly.
GGGUCUGUGGUCUAGGGGUAUGACACUCCCUUAGCAACAUCCAAAACUGCUCUAGAUCGUCUAGAAUAGUCUCUGAUAGCGCUCCUCGAAUGGGAGAGGUCCCGGGUUCAAUUCCCGGCGGAUCCA